AGUGGGAUUACUGGGUCAAAUGGUGGUUCCAUUCCAAGUUUUCUAAGGAAACUUCAUACUGCUUUCCAGAGUGAUUGAACCAAUUUGCAGUCCCAAAAGCAAU
Molecule: microRNA precursor, 103 nt
Filed under: Marmota monax (woodchuck)
Lineage: Eukaryota; Metazoa; Chordata; Mammalia; Rodentia; Sciuridae
Source: RNAcentral